GUACACGCUGUGACUAGCAUAUCAAUAAGCGGAGGAAAAGAAACUAACAAGGAUUCCCCUAGUAACGGCGAGUGAAGCGGGAAGAGCUCAAAUUUGAAAUCUUAAAGGGUUUCCCUUUACGAAUUGUAGUUUAAAGAAGUGUUUUCUGUUGAGGUUUUGGUAAAAGUUCUUUGGAAUAGGACAUCAUAGAGGGUGAGAAUCCCGUAUUUGACCUUUACUUUCAACUUUGUGAUACACUUUCAAAGAGUCGGAUUGUUUGGGAAUGCAGUCCAAAAUGGGUGGUAAAUUUCAUCUAAAGCUAAAUAUUGGCGAGAGACCGAUAGCGAACAAGUACCGUGAGGGAAAGAUGAAAAGAACUUUGAAAAGAGAGUUAAGCAGUACGUGGAAUUGUCAAAAGGGAAGCGUUUGACACCAGUGUUGUUUUUCUGAAAAUCAAUUAAAGAACUGUCUAUGCUAAGUUGUUUAGACUUUAUCAGCUAACUGUUUAGUUUUGAGCUUUUCUUUAAUGCACUUUUCAGUUAACAAGUCAACAUCAAUUUCUUUUGCUGUAAAAAAGCUUGAGGAAGGUGGCUUGAGAUUCGUCUUAAGUGUUUAUAGCCUCUUGCCUAUGCAGUCGGAGAGAUUGAGGUCUGCAGCGUAGAUCCUUCGGGGCUAAAUGCAUUUGUGCUAAGUUAUAGCAUUUUAUAGACAACUUGUUGACUAUGAUUUGUCUUGUAGCUUACUCGCUUAUGUUAUUUUACCUACGCUUAGGAUGUUGAAGAUGUAGCACAUCAU
RNAcentral lists this ribosomal RNA (774 nucleotides) under uncultured Neocallimastigales. RNAcentral's name for it is "partial large subunit ribosomal RNA". It matches the Rfam family "Eukaryotic large subunit ribosomal RNA", at positions 22 to 635 of the family's 3401-position model. Lineage: Eukaryota; Fungi; Neocallimastigomycota; Neocallimastigomycetes; Neocallimastigales. The record is from RNAcentral.